UGCAAAUCAAUAUAAAUUGAUUUUUAAAUUUUAUUUAUUAAUUGAUUGAAUUUCAUUAAAUUUUUUUAUUAAAAAUAAUUAUAUAAAUUAUAUUGUUUUAGUAAAUUUUAUUGAAAAAAUAAUUUUUAUAAUAGUUUAUUUGUAUUGUGAAAGAUUAUUGAAAUAUUUUGAAAAAUUUUUAUAAAAUAAGAAAAAUUUAUUUUUUGUACCUUGUGUAUCAGGGUUUAUUAAAUAAUUUAUAAAUAUUUAUUUAUCUCGAUUUUAUAAGAGUUAAUAAUUUAUGAAAGUUAAUGUAUUAAAAUUAUUUUUAAUAAAUUAUUAGAAAUGAAAUGUUAUUCGUUUAUAAAGGUAUCUAGUUUUUUUAGAAAUAAAUUUAAUUUAUUAAUUUUUAAUUUUUAUUUUUAUUAAAAAAAAUUAAAAAAUUAAAAAUUAAAAUAUUUAAAGGGAUAAGCUUUUAAAUAAAUUUUUAUAAAUUAAUGAAUUUUAUUUAAAAUUAUAUGCAUAGAAUUAGCAAUUAUUAUUAAGUUUGUUUUAAAUUAUUUUAUAUUUUAUAUUAUUUAUUGUAUUUUAAUUUUUUAUAAAAAAAAGUUUUUUAAUUAUAAAUUGAGUAAUUAUAAUGAUAAAAUUAGUAUAAAAUUUUGUUUAUAUAAUAAUUUUAGAUAAGUUUAUAUAAAGAACUCGGCAAAUAUUAUACUCGCCUGUUUAACAAAAACAUGUCUUUUUGAGUUAUUUUUAAAGUCUGACCUGCCCAAUGAAGUUAAGUUUUAAUGGCCGCAGUAUUUUGACUGUGCAAAGGUAGCAUAACAUUAGUCUUUUAAUUGAAGGCUUGUAUGAAUGGUUGGACGAAGUAUAAACUGUUUCAUAUAAAUUUAUUAUAGAAUUUUAUUUUUUAGUUAAAAAGCUAAAAUUUUUUUAAAAGACGAGAAGACCCUAUAAAUCUUUAUAAUUUAUUAUAAUUAAUUUUUUUAGAUAUUUAUUAUAAUUAAUUUUUUUAGAUAUUUUUUGAUUUAAUAUAAUUAAAUUAUUUUGUUGGGGUGAUAAUAAAAUUUAUUAAACUUUUAAUUUAUUUAUUACAUUAAUUUAUGAUUUAUUGAUCCAUUAAUAAUGAUUAUAAGAAUAAGUUACUUUAGGGAUAACAGCGUUAUUUUUUUGGAGAGUUCUUAUCGAUAAAAAAGUUUGCGACCUCGAUGUUGGAUUAAGAGAUAUUUUUAGGUGUAGUAGCUUAAAUGUUAAGUCUGUUCGACUUU
Molecule: ribosomal RNA, 1247 nt
Filed under: Xanthaciura tetraspina
Lineage: Eukaryota; Metazoa; Arthropoda; Insecta; Diptera; Tephritidae
Description: partial 16S ribosomal RNA
Source: RNAcentral